GGACCCGUAGCUUAGUUGAAUAGAGCGCCAGAUUCCGGUUCUGGAGGUCAUGGGUUUGAGUCCCAUCGGGUUCA
This 74-nucleotide transfer RNA is filed under the name Hoylesella loescheii. RNAcentral describes it as "tRNA-Arg". It matches the Rfam family "tRNA". From Rfam's summary of the family: Transfer RNA (tRNA) molecules are approximately 80 nucleotides in length. Their secondary structure includes four short double-helical elements and three loops (D, anti-codon, and T loops). The record is from RNAcentral. RNAcentral also lists the same sequence under 3 other names. Lineage: Bacteria; Pseudomonadati; Bacteroidota; Bacteroidia; Bacteroidales; Prevotellaceae.